UUUGUGUUUAACGUGAGACAGGAAAUGAGCAAAGCAGAAGAAGAGCAGGUGUGCAUCAACAUUCACUCAGUCAUGUGUCACGGGUUAAGAAACAAACCAGUCGAGGGUAACGAGGGUAACGUACCUCUGAGGCAGCAGAACGGACGCUUUAGGAAAAGCUCCUCUGCAGCAGUGUGUUUGGAUCAGUGAGCAGAGAGAAAACAUCCACACUGAGCAUGCUCAGCUGGGACACGGGGUGACGAUGACAGCUGUCGGCCUUUUAUGGCUGAAGGUCUACCGCCGAGUCCAGAACCCACCAAGCCCGCACACAAGCAGAGACUGCCCACGCUUUGGGUUACCGUGGAAACAGCUCCAGGACUGCCGGGUCUCGUGGGAACCAAAGGAUUAUGGGUCAGCAUCGUCCUCGGCUCUUCUUCCUCUUCCUCCAACUUCAAACCAAGCAACCCCGCCGACCAGAGAGCCAAGUAGAUGAAACAAGCACACCGUUCCUCUGCGUUCCUCUGAACGUCCACACUCAAUAACAGGGCGGCGAUCCCCUGGGGACAGGCUCCUCCUCCUCUGAGCUCACUGUAGCAGGCAACGAACCACAGAGCGACCCUCCAGAACCACGAGCAGGGCGUGGCUAAAAAAAAAAAUGGCUCCAGUUCCUCAAACCAAAGCGUGAACUCGUUCCUGAUUGGUUUAUGGUUUUGUUGCUGUUUUCAGGUGUCAGUGAAUAAAACGUGAAACUGGUGAAGUGAUGGUGAUGUUAGAGCAGGGCGCCCGGAUGAAGAGCCCCACACGGCCACAGAAGCUCGUUUCACUUCCUCUUUUAGUUCCUGUGAUAUUUGAGGCCACAUGUGCGAACUGUGACGAGGGCUUUAAUCUAAACGUUCUGACUGCAUGUGUGACGAUUAUCACACUAAUUUCACACGCGUGUUCUUUAAACUGCAUUCAGUGAUGUUUGAUUUACUGUUUUGUGGGCGUCUUCGUUUUCACCUCCUAAAUAAACGGCGCUCGGUCCCUGUGCAUGCUGCAGGCCGGGACCACUUCAGUAUAUGUCAGAGAACAUGACGCAUGCUAAUCUGCAGGCAGUUCAUAGAUGCAGUGACAGGUGUCUACAGGUGUGCGGAGACAGGUAGAUUUACCUGCUGCAUCGGGUUGAUGCUGAUAUUUCAUCACGGCCUCCGGAGUGAGCUUUAUGUCUCAAUCUGCUCCAACAAUGAAAUCAAAUAAAGUGCAACAGCUGAGCGAGCUUUCAUUCAGCAAUAAAGCUACACAACAUGGGGCGCUCAUUUACAAACACCAGUCGAACUGAAGUUUCACACUUUGUUUGGUAGAAAAAAAUCAAAUUGUUGCUUAAAUUUUCACAAAAUGUCAGAAUCUGCACGUCAUGAACAAAAAUUUAAAGCUAAUUUUUCAGGAUUUGUUGGGUUCAUCCUCUGGGGGCCGCGAUGUCAUUUGUAUUUCACCUCUUUCCCCUCCUCGCCGUGUUUGGUCUCAUUCUCUUCAGCUCAGCCUCACGUGUCUGAAUUUACACUGAUUGUUUCACGGACAUGUUGUAGAAACACAACUGAUCUGAAAUCACACAAAAACAUAAAAUCCUCGUAGUAGUUAUAUUUGUUUACUGUUAAAAGCACAAACAUGUUUAGUGAAUGAUUUUCAAAACUUGAAAUGCAAAUAUAAACUGAAAACCUAAGCACAAAGUUUGUAAACAAUAAAGUCAUAAACAAAUAUUUAUCUAAAAACACAGCCAAUGGAUCUGGUGGGUUUA
Molecule: long non-coding RNA, 1753 nt
Organism: Oreochromis aureus
Lineage: Eukaryota; Metazoa; Chordata; Actinopteri; Cichliformes; Cichlidae
Source: Ensembl